This is a long non-coding RNA of Pantherophis guttatus, 612 nucleotides long. RefSeq lists it as uncharacterized. Lineage: Eukaryota; Metazoa; Chordata; Lepidosauria; Squamata; Colubridae. The record is from RefSeq and is a predicted model, not a curated record.
GGCCUGGGGCUGGAACAUAAAUCCCUGAGGAUCUGAAGAUCUGAAGAAUGCAAACUUUUCACAUGUUCUAAUGUGCUAAAGAUACAGUGAUAUGGAAUUGAUGCCCAUCCAACUGUAAUUAAUUUAUUCUGUUUGGAAUCUGUGAAAGGAAAACAGGGUAGGAGCAAAAGGAAAUUCUCUUCCAACAUUUUUAUAUCUUCACCCAAACAGUAUCUUUCAUCCAAAGAUGAUGAGGAGAUGGCUUCAGAGAAUUGGGAUGCCCUUGGGGCAUCAGGCUGUGGAUGACUGGUUUCAGGACUGAGAUCUGUACCCAGCCAAAGUGUGCAAAGCAGGUUCCAGCUGUAGGAAUGGAUACAUUGCAAUAAGCAGUCAAGAGCAGGAGGCUUUUAAUAGAACUGCAUUCAUUGUUCCUCUGCCUCAGAUGUGGGCAACUAGAUACAACUGCUUCAAAGAUCGCUUCUACUGAACACAGAAGCAAAGCUACUCACUGUGUCUUAUUCCACCAAUGCCUGGUCAAAUCACAAUCCACAAAGUACAUUCUGAGUUAAUGACUGUUUAGCGUUCUUCAAUUAUACCAAAAUUAAGCAUUAAAAAGUCUUUGUAUAAAGCACA